This is a long non-coding RNA of Alligator mississippiensis (American alligator), 1791 nucleotides long. RefSeq lists it as uncharacterized. The transcript has 4 exons. NCBI's taxonomy places the organism in Eukaryota, Metazoa, Chordata, Crocodylia, Alligatoridae. The record is from RefSeq and is a predicted model, not a curated record.
AGGUGUGGCUAAAGGUGGUAGGUGUGGAGCAAGAUCUGCGUCAAUCUUUUCUGUAACCUCACAGUAAAUAUUUUGUUAUUUAUUUGUUUUAAGACUGAAGUAGGAAGUUUCUCCCCCACCCAGUUUCUCCUGCUCUGGUGGCUGGGAGGGGGCUGGAGUGCCCAAGUUGUGUACACAGCAAAGGGAGCUAGGCUGCCUGCUUUGCAGAAGUUCAGGCGGCCUGUUGCGGAGGUGCUCUAACUCAAGGCACUUGGGACUCAAGGCACUCAAAGGAGUGAAAAAAUUAUACUGAGAUGCUGGGACUCUUUAUGCAGUAGCUGGGAAUGGAAGGAGAUUCUCUUUGGAACCAUUCACAACUAGACAUAACUUCAGCGCUUAGAACAAAUUACCUUUUUUCCACCAUCAAAUGCAAAGAUACAUUAAGCAUCCACAAAGUUAGUCUGAGCUAUUUGCUCUGUACCAUGGAAUAAAUGGAGGAAGAAACAAUACGUGGAAGAAUCCAAGUUGGAAAUGAUGCAAAUGAGCGAUGCACAUUUCCGAACUAAUCUCCAAGUGAAACAGCAAUUUCAGCAGAAGAAAGUGGGCUUUAGAAAAUUCACUAAUCCUUUCAGUUGAUCUGUGCCUCAGCUAAAAAGGAAUUCUGAAGAAAUCCAGAAAGACUUUCUUAACUAUACAGGUUUCGUACUGGCAUCUUAUCUCCUCCAGGACCUUGUUCAGGUCACGUGAUGGAGCUGUAUCCAACUCUACAUUAAUACAAUCACCAAGCUGAUGUCGAAGUGGACUAGCUUCCUAGGGGGAUGGAAGAAUAAGAGAGUAAACAUUUAGAAGGGAUCUAUUUUUCUCAUUCCCAUCAAACACCACCUAUGGAUAUCUCCUAUGCUCUUGUAGUGGCCUUUCUCAUUUCUAACCUCUUGAUCACCAACAAUGCAGGUCAAUACAAAUUCUACUACAGAAAUAGAAGUUAACACGAUCAUUUUCCUAUACCCUCCUCCAAAAUUCAUUUUCCAGUGUUUUAAAGUGCAGGAGAGAAAUUCAGCAAAUGUUCCUGAUUUUCUAAGAAAGCCAAUUAUUUCUUUUUUGAAAAAAAAAUACAUUGUAAAGUGAGUGGAGGUAAUAAGAGUACCAGAGUAGGAUGUUUUAAAUACUGGAGAAUGAAAGUAGAGAGUAUGUGCAUGUUAUUAGGAGUACUUUAGAUGAUAUCCAAGAUAAAAUUGGAUGAAGCUUUACAGGCCUUUAGAUAAAGGAAUGCUGGUAAAUUCUUUAUAUGACAAAGACUUGACAAAUGAAGUCCUAACAGCAACCAGUAUAAACAAUUUUAAAGAAAAAGUUAAAUGGAGCUUCACUCACUGUUGACCACAAAUGCUAUCUGCAAAUAGUGGCUGAAACAAGAAUGUUGGCCUCUUAUCUAUAAAGCCAUUGUAUCUCUUCUUAGAUCUAAUAAAUACUUAUAUAUUUCCACAUCUUAAUUUAUGUUACUGUUUAGUCACUGUUCAUUCUUACUUCCUCAUGGUUCUUCCUGAGGCAGAGGAGCUCCUCUGUUAGGGACUCAAGCUCUGUCUCCAGAUCAGUCUUGCAUAGGGUCAGGUCAUCCAGAAAUCUAUGCAGACUACUGAUGUCUGCCUUGGCACUCUGGCAAAGCCCAUGUUCAUAUUCAUACCUUUUGAACGAAGCAAGAGUAACAGUAAAUGAACUGUAUGCAAAAAAACCACCUCAUUUUCAAUGUAAGUCCUCUAUUGUAUCAUUUCUACUUGUGAAAUAAAAUGAUAUAUUUAUAUAUAUUUCCAAUUUGAA